Molecule: transfer-messenger RNA, 340 nt
Rfam family: transfer-messenger RNA
About the family: Bacterial tmRNA, also known as 10Sa RNA or SsrA, is named for its dual tRNA and mRNA-like properties.
GGGGGUGAGAGGUCUCGACAGGGGUGAUCAGAGUAAAGGGAGCAUGCCGAGUCGCCCGGCUCGUAAAAUCGGGCACUUUAAAAUAACUGCCGCCGAAUAUGCGGUUGCCUGAUGGUAAACAGGCUUAACCUGGGGACUUGCCCCCAAGGUCCUCAGGGGAUGGGUUAGGGGGUGGUCGUCCGCACCUUGAUCCCGAGGUGGACGACGACACCGAAGGGAUCUAUCCCCUUAUGGUGCGGGGCCCAGCGGACCAUAAGGGUAAAGUAACCUGGGUCUAAGCAUGUAGAGCCCUUUGCUCUGACACUUCUGGACGCGGGUUCGAAUCCCGCCACCUCCAUUA